This is a non-coding RNA of Micropterus salmoides (largemouth bass), 681 nucleotides long. The record is from the annotation of a RefSeq genome assembly. Lineage: Eukaryota; Metazoa; Chordata; Actinopteri; Centrarchiformes; Centrarchidae.
AUGCGGGAUAAUCUGGUCAUUUCGGGUAUCCCGGAGCAGGCGGAUGAAACCCCAGAGGAGACCGUUAAAAGCUUCAUCCAAAAUCAACUGAAGCUCCCGGCCGAGACCGUAAAGAACAUCAGCUUCCACCGGUUUGUAUCACUGUGGGAAACGUUCGGUGGAGGAACCAGACUGGAUGUUGGAAGUGAUGUCCGUCCCACCCUGACGGUGCUGCCCCCCUCCAGUGAGGAGCUGCAGCAGGGGAAGGCCACGCUCAUGUGCCUGGCCAACAAGGGCUUCCCCUCAGACUGGAGUCUGGCCUGGAAGGUGGACGGCAGCAGCAGCAGCAGCAGCUGGGAGGAGAGCAGGAGCCCCGGGGUGCUGGAGAAGGACGGCCGCUACAGCUGGAGCAGCACCCUGAGGCUCCCUGCAGACCAGUGGAGGAAGGUGGGCUCUGUGACCUGUGAGGCCACCCAGGGCUCCCAGGCUCUGGUCUCAGAGACACUGAGGAGAGACCAGUGUUCCCAGUCCUGACCUGACUCACUGGGACUCUGCUACUGGUUUUACUCUGCUCUCUGAACUCUGUAACUCUCUCUGUGUCUGCGUCUCUUUAUUUCACUCAGUCAAUCUCUAAUCACAUGUUUCAUGAAUAAAGUGAUGUAAUUUUGAUUAUUUCUACAUAAUAAAGACCAGUUCAUCAAA